This 364-nucleotide ribosomal RNA is filed under the name uncultured bacterium. RNAcentral's name for it is "bacterial SSU rRNA". It matches the Rfam family "Bacterial small subunit ribosomal RNA", at positions 8 to 353 of the family's 1533-position model. The record is from RNAcentral.
AGAGUUUGAUCAUGGCUCAGGAUGAACGCUGGCGGCGUGCCUAACACAUGCAAGUCGAACGGAGUUACUUUGGUGAAGUUUUCGGAUGGAUCUGAUUUAACUUAGUGGCGGACGGGUGAGUAAUGCGUGAGCAACCUGCCCUUCAGAGGGGGACAACAGUUGGAAACGACUGCUAAUACCGCAUAAUGUAUUCGGAAGGCAUCUUCUGGAUACCAAAGGAGAAAUCCGCUGAUGGAUGGGCUCACGUCUGAUUAGCUAGUUGGUGGGGUAACGGCUCACCAAGGCGACGAUACAUAGGGGGACUGAGAGGUUAACCCCCCACACUGGUACUGAGACACGGACCAGACUCCUACGGGAGGCAGCA